RNAcentral lists this long non-coding RNA (1311 nucleotides) under Heterocephalus glaber (naked mole-rat). RNAcentral's name for it is "lncRNA (ENSHGLG00100051465.1)". The record is from RNAcentral. Lineage: Eukaryota; Metazoa; Chordata; Mammalia; Rodentia; Bathyergidae.
UUUUUAUGAUAGUUGGGUGAAGGUCUCUUCUUCUGGAGCUGCUUCCUGCUGACAAGGGGUGAAGAUCGGGGUUAGACCUGGAUCUGAUGAGGCCCAUGGAUGUGUAGCCUAUCUUUCAGGAAGGGAAUCAGAGACCUUGGCAUUCCCUGUGUUCAAGAUCACUAGUCACUGUCAAUCAGGCCCAUCCGUUCCAAGAAGAAAGAAAAACAUCAUUCUUACACGCCAUGGCCUUUGAAGUGGACCAGCAACUUUCCUGGGUCUCCAGCUUGCAGACUGCAGAUUGUGAGAUUUCCCAGCCUCCAUAAUCAUCACCAUGGCAAGAAAGCGCCACCCUUGAAUGUCCUGCCUACUCAGCUGAAAGCAGCAGCUGUUCCAAUAAGCAAUUUGAUGUUCAGCACCUGAGACUGGCUCCCUCCUUCCAGCAAGACUGCAAGCUCAACAGAAUGUAGGAAAGCACGGACAAGUUUCCUGAUGCAGCAAGGAGAGCAACACAGGCAUUUGAAAAGCUAUAUCUGGUAAGAUCAGGAAAUAACUAUUUUUCACCCAACACAUCUUCAAUCCCGCCUGGGAAGGAUUUGCCAAGGAUGAGAGCAUGAGCAAAUCCCAGCAUCUUACGCCAUCUUUGAGCAUUAAAAUCAUCUUGUACUUCAUUGUCAAUAGAAGGGACAUCAUGGUGGCCUUAGGCGAACUGUAGGAGCUAAGCUGGGCCAGAAAGGGGGCUGGGCUCUCAGAUGUAGGAGGAACCUACCAAAGUAUCUUGGAGCCCAGAUGGACGGCCAGGGAAGCCUUUUUCCCACUUCUCAUAGUGGAACAAGCCAGAGGUCCCCAUGAAGAAAAAACACAGAGGUGGCCAUGGGGAAGGGAUUUGGUCCAAAUUCCAGCAAAGGAGCAUCUGGUUGGUCUGACUGGGUCAGAUACUCGUCUCCCAGUUAGGGGAACACAGGAGAUUUCACGUGACAUUCCCACCAGGAGCAGUCAAUAGAAAAGUAACAUACAGAAGAUGCUAUGGGGCACAUUUACCAAAGGAAGGUGGAAUAGAUGUGGUGCGGCCACACGAAUUGCAUAUGUCUAUGUCCCUUUAAAAAAUUCCAAGAAGUUCUAGUAUGUUUAAUGAGUUUUCAGAACGGAAAUUUAAUAAGAACGGAGUGCACAUACAGAGACAAAAAGACUGGGAUCAAUUAUAAUAAGAUAUAAGUAAUUUUCUUUGAGUUGUAGGAAGAGGGGUUGGUUCUUUUUUCUUCUGUUGUUUUUUCCUAUAAUGUGUAUUUAUUACUUUUUUGAUAAAAAAUAAACUUUAUCUUUUGAGAUGAG